GGGUACUAUACUGUCUAACGUGUACUGAAACUCUAACUAUGAUCAGCCCAUCAUGAAUUCCAGGUUGCAGUAUGUUUCUCAGUUACAUAAAGACUUUGGAGGUUUUAUCAGGGUCGGCGAAGCCGUAGGAUUCGUCAUUGUCUGCAAAGCCAAUUCGAAAACGUAUUGUAGGUCGCUGUUUUUUCCCAACUCGGAAAACGUGUUUAUCUGGUAGAUAUAGGAAGUUACGUUUGACAUUUCAUCUAUUCCGUUAAUGUACUUGCCAACGGCAACAACAAAAGUUUUCACACCCGGAAUAUUCCGCUUUAGCUUUUUCGCACUGCAUGCAUGGCUAGUGUUUUCUGCUAUAUAAUCAUUCGACCGUCCAUCUGUCACGAGAAAGACCAGCUUUCUUGCGAAUGGCCGGGCUCCUAAUUUAAAGAAAUAUAAUAUAAUGCAAGAAACUAAAAAAAUAAUUAGCAUAUAGAUAACAGGAUGGCUUCGAGUGAACUUGGAUAAAACAUGUACGAGUGAGUUUUUCAAAGAGCAU
This 529-nucleotide long non-coding RNA is filed under the name Paramuricea clavata. The record is from RNAcentral. Lineage: Eukaryota; Metazoa; Cnidaria; Anthozoa; Malacalcyonacea; Plexauridae.